AACGCAAAUUGCACUCUCUGGUAUUCCGGGGAGUAUGCCUGUUUGAGGGUCAGUUUUAACAAAAAUCGAGGUGUCGCCUUUUGUGACGCAUCGGAAUUGGGACGUCUUGAUCCGUUUGGAUCAAGAGACCUAAAAUUGAUACCUUGUGCAUCUCAGACGUACAUAAGAAAUUUUUUUUUUUAUCCGUCCCGGGUGCCAAUUUUUAUUAGGUAUGACCAUCGUUAAUUCUUGUGGCAUUGUACCUAUAAUAAUUAUACUCAUAUUUUGACCUCAAAUCAGGUAGGAGUACCCGCUGAACUUAA
RNAcentral lists this unclassified non-coding RNA (302 nucleotides) under uncultured fungus. RNAcentral describes it as "partial contains 5.8S ribosomal RNA, internal transcribed spacer 2, and large subunit ribosomal RNA". The stretch from base 1 to 52 matches the Rfam family "5.8S ribosomal RNA", at positions 103 to 154 of the family's 154-position model. Lineage: Eukaryota; Fungi. The record is from RNAcentral.